Molecule: transfer RNA, 56 nt
Filed under: Dipodomys ordii (Ord's kangaroo rat)
Lineage: Eukaryota; Metazoa; Chordata; Mammalia; Rodentia; Heteromyidae
Rfam family: tRNA
About the family: Transfer RNA (tRNA) molecules are approximately 80 nucleotides in length. Their secondary structure includes four short double-helical elements and three loops (D, anti-codon, and T loops). Further hydrogen bonds mediate the characteristic L-shaped molecular structure. tRNAs have two regions of fundamental functional importance: the anti-codon, which is responsible for specific mRNA codon recognition, and the 3' end, to which the tRNAs corresponding amino acid is attached (by aminoacyl-tRNA synthetases). tRNAs cope with the degeneracy of the genetic code in two manners: having more than one tRNA (with a specific anti-codon) for a particular amino acid; and 'wobble' base-pairing, i.e. permitting non-standard base-pairing at the 3rd anti-codon position.
Source: Rfam by way of RNAcentral
UGGCUCAGUAGUAGAGCGCUUGCCUUGCAUGCAUGAGGCCGUGGGUUCGAUUCCUC